GACGAACCGAGCGAACGUUAUUCGGAAUCACUGGGCUUAAAGGGUGCGUAGGCGGGCCCGUCAGUCAGGGGUGAAAUCCCACGGCCCAACCGUGGAAGUGCCUCUGAUACUGCGGGCCUGGAGGGGGAUAGGGGCGUGCGGAACUUCCGGUGGAGCGGUGAAAUGCGUAGAUAUCGUAAGGAACACCGGUGGCGAAAGCGGCGCGCUGGAUCCCUACUGACGCUGAGGCACGAAAGCCAGGGGAGCAAACGGG
This 253-nucleotide ribosomal RNA is filed under the name uncultured bacterium. RNAcentral describes it as "partial 16S ribosomal RNA". It matches the Rfam family "Bacterial small subunit ribosomal RNA", at positions 524 to 776 of the family's 1533-position model. The record is from RNAcentral.